This 579-nucleotide ribosomal RNA is filed under the name Naganishia albida. Its description in RNAcentral is "eukaryotic LSU rRNA". The stretch from base 145 to 298 matches the Rfam family "5.8S ribosomal RNA". The record is from RNAcentral. Lineage: Eukaryota; Fungi; Basidiomycota; Tremellomycetes; Filobasidiales; Filobasidiaceae.
UCUGUCGAGCUUGCUCACAGGCACAUCAUAUCCAUAACACCUGUGCACUUGUCGGAUGGCUUAGUGAAGACCGCAAGGUUGGAUCUAUCCAUCUACUUUACAUAACAAUUCUGUAACAAAUGUAGUCUUAUUAUAACAUAAUAAAACUUUCAACAACGGAUCUCUUGGCUCUCGCAUCGAUGAAGAACGCAGCGAAAUGCGAUAAGUAAUGUGAAUUGCAGAAUUCAGUGAAUCAUCGAAUCUUUGAACGCACCUUGCGCUCCUUGGUAUUCCGAGGAGCAUGCCUGUUUGAGUGUCAUGAAAACCCUCAACCCUAGAUUGGUUAAAACCUUUCUUUGGUUUGGAUUUGGACGUUUGCCGAUGAUAAGUCGGCUCGUCUUAAAAGUAAUAGCUGGAUCUGUCUCGCGACAUGGUUUGACUUGGCGUAAUAAGUAUUUCGCUAAGGACAUCUUCGGAUGGCCGCGUUGCAGGACUAAAGACCGCUUUCUAAUCCAUUGAUCUUACGAUUAAUAUUCUUGACAUCUGGCCUCAAAUCAGGUAGGACUACCCGCUGAACUUAAGCAUAUCAAUAAGCGGAGG